GAUGAACGCUGGCGGCGUGCCUAAUACAUGCAAGUCGAGCGAACAGACGAGGAGCUUGCUCCUCUGACGUUAGCGGCGGACGGGUGAGUAACACGUGGAUAACCUACCUAUAAGACUGGGAUAACUUCGGGACACCGGAGCUAAUACCGUAUAAUAUAUUGAACCGCAUGGUUCAAUAGUGAAAGACGGUUUUGCUGUCACUUAUAGAUGGAUCCGCGCCGCAUUAGCUAGUUGGUAAGGUAACGGCUUACCAAGGCGACGAUGCGUAGCCGACCUGAGAGGGUGAUCGGCCACACUGGAACUGAGACACGGUCCAGACUCCUACGGGAGGCAGCAGUAGGGAAUCUUCCGCAGUGGGCGAAAGCCUGACGGAGCAACGCCGCGUGAGUGAUGAAGGUCUUCGGAGCGUAAAACUCUGUUAUUAGGGAAGAACAAAUGUGUAAGUAACUAUGCACGUCUUGACGGUACCUAGUCAGAAAGCCACGGCUAACUACGUG
Molecule: ribosomal RNA, 497 nt
Filed under: uncultured bacterium
Lineage: Bacteria
Description: partial 16S ribosomal RNA
Rfam family: Bacterial small subunit ribosomal RNA
Source: RNAcentral